AUGGGGAUUGUCACAGUGGAUGAGAACAGGCAGCAAACUAGUCCAUUCUCCUACUCCUCCAGCGACUCAGUGAAAGGCCGAUUCACCAUCUCCAGGGACGAUUCCAACAACCUGCUGCAUUUGGACAUGACCGGCCUGAAGCCCGAGGACACCGCCCGCUAUUAUUGUGCGAGAUACAUAAACACAGUGCGGGAAGCCGGGCCGAGCUCAGACAGAAACCUGCCCUCGCUGGCUAAGCACAAACUCUCCGCUGGGGGGCGCUGCAGUUCUACAGCUCGCAGCGCAGAGACCGUGAGCGAGAAAACUCCUGUCCGCAGCUGCCUGUCUGUGGGAGAUCAAACCCCUUCUGAGCCCUCUGUCUCCAUUAUGAAGUCAGAAAAUGAGAGCAUUGCUGCUUGCCUGGUGAAAGAUUUCUACCCUAAGGAAUUGAAGAUAUUCAUGAAUUCUGACAGUCAAACUAUAUAUGAAGCAACAUCUAUCCUCACAUCUAGUGGGAAAUACAGUGCCGUCAAAGUUGCCAAGUUGUCUUCAAAUGAACCAGUGUCUUGCUCUGUUCAACAUAACAGCAAACUUAUUAAGAAAACCCAAACAGCUGAGAAUCCACCAGAUUUCACAUCUCCUGCUCCUGAGCCGUGCAACAUUUCAAACUCUAGUCUCGAAGACAAGAAUGAAGAGAAAAGUGUGAAGACACUAUCCACGGCUCUGCUGGCUUUGGAAAUUGUGCUUGCAAAGAGCAUCAUCUUCAAUGUGAGCAUGAUUGCAAGAUUAGUCUUUGAGGUUUGCAAGAAGGAGCGAGGACGGACCUGAGAAAGAAAGC
Molecule: non-coding RNA, 817 nt
Organism: Mauremys mutica (yellowpond turtle)
Lineage: Eukaryota; Metazoa; Chordata; Testudines; Geoemydidae
Source: the annotation of a RefSeq genome assembly